Molecule: long non-coding RNA, 2061 nt
Organism: Mus musculus (house mouse)
Lineage: Eukaryota; Metazoa; Chordata; Mammalia; Rodentia; Muridae
Product: expressed sequence AU019990
Exons: 4
Source: RefSeq, marked validated
GGUAGAGUGCUUGCCUAUGAUAUGCAAGGACUCAGGUUGGAGCCCCAGUGCUGAAAGAAUCAGGAAAUUAAGUCAUGAAGUGGUGCCUGGGCAGAUAGAGGCCUUAGGAGGAAACUGCAUGUUUUGAGGGACAGAGCUGGGUCAGCAGAGUGUUUCCACACAAAUGAACUGACUUCUGCAUUGAGAACGUGAAUCAACAGAUCCCACAAGGUCAGUGUUCCCAGGCUCCCAAGUCCUUGAGGAAUUCUGGAAGGAAGCUGUUUAUAGUCGUUUUUCUAAGGAAGAAAUUGGAGAGUUGAGAUAUAUGCUUUCUCCUGCCAUCUUCAUGGCCUUCAUGGCCUGCUUCAGGACUCAGUGGGAAAUUCAAAAGGCCAGGAACUCUUGCCUAUGGAGUGAUACCACUCACGUUGGGCAGUAUCUAUUAACAAUCAAGACAAUCAAGACAAAUACCCCAUCGACAUGCUCAUAGCCCAAUCUGAUCUGGGCAGCCCUUCAGUUGAGACGUCCUAGGUAAAUUGCUUAUAUUUAUGUCUUUCAAGAACCUGCUUCCAGGGGAAUUCAAAGUAGGAUAUUGGAGCAGUCAACUCAGUUGCCCAGGACUACAUGGCUGGAAUAAAUUUAUAUCAGUUUCCCCAAGACAAAACCUCAUGGGAGAGGCAGUUGGUUUCUCUGGCCUUUCUACCCUUAAGAGGUCUUCAGCAAAGCCCUUGCCUUGUGGGAUUUCUGAGUUUAAUUCUGAGUUAAAACCCUUCAGUCUUGGGAUAGAGAGAUGGCUCAGUGGUUAAGAGCACUGGCUUCUCUUCCAGAGGGCCUGGGUUCAAUUUCCAGCACCCACAUGGUAGUUUACAGCUGUCUGUAGCUCCAAUUCCUAAGGAUUUGACACCCUCACACAGGCACCAAUGUGCAUAUAAAUAAAACAACAACAAAACCCUUUGGUCUCCAGAGAAGAAACUCAUGGAAAACAAAGCGGCCCAUUAGCAUUAGCAUUCAGAAAUGCAGAGAAGAGCAAAGUCAUGUCCAGGCAGGGCUGCCAACCACAAAAGGCACACCCAGCACUGCCCUCUGAGUGUUGGGUGCCACUUGCUACAAAUCCUGGUUUGGCUGCUGACUCGAUGGAGGUGUGAAGCCUUGGACGAGCCUGGUGUGAAGCCCUGGGUGAUCUUGUUACCCUUCUCUAUCAGUUACCUAAUCUUAAAGCCGAUGAAAUUACAGUGCCGGCUGCAUCUCUGCUGGGAAGCCGCUCUACGUUGGGGCCUUGUCAGAGCAUUGAUCUCCUCCCGGAAGUGAAGCAUGUCGGGAAACUGAGACUCAUAAAGGCCGGGCUUGCCUAGAUAUCUGAGGCCUUGAUCUGAGGCCUUGAGGUCCAGCUUGCCUCCCAUACCCUGGGUACUUCAUCCCUAAAUUGGUUUUACAGUUUGUGAGCUCCCAUUCUGCCACAGUGUCUGAAACUAAAUUAUGUACUAGCCAUUUCAGUAACUUUUCGAAGUAUGAAAACCUCAUAUGCUUGGGCAGAUAUGGUUACAGAAUUCUGAUAUGAGAAAGUUUUAUUCAGACUACGAUUGAAUCAAUGUGUUGUCAUGGAUGAGUUGGUUAUUCAAGAUCUAAUCAGUAGUAACAGAAAUUAAAAAAAAAAAAAAGCAACAAAAAAUAAAUAAAUAAAUAAAUAAAUAAGGGGAGAUGGAGGCAGAAAGAUCAGGAGUCCAGGCCAGCCAAGGCUAUAUGAGACCUUGUUUCAAAAACCAAGCAUAUCUGGAGAGAUGGCUCAACACUCAUAUCAAGUGGUACACAACCAUCUGUAACUCCAGCUCUGGGGACCUGAGGCCUCUGAAGGUACCUGCACUCGUGUGCACACACUCAUAGGCAGAUAGACAUACCUACGAAUAAUUACAAAUAGUAAAAAAAAAUCUACCUCUCAAACAAAUCAAUGGUGCAGCCAAACCACUCCUCAAUUUUCUAAUCCCAAGGUGCUUUACAUGCUGUGAUUGACUCAAUACAUUUGUUCUAAAAAAAUAAAAUCUAAUUUUCUCCUAAACUAAGUUGUAAAAAAAAAAUUCUAACUUA